UCGCCUACGGGGCGCAGCAGUGAGGAAUAUUGGUCAAUGGGCGCAAGCCUGAACCAGCCAAGUCGCGUGAGGGAAGACGGCCCUACGGGUUGUAAACCUCUUUUGCCGGGGAGCAAGCCUGAGCACGUGUGCCCAGGCGGAGAGUACCCGGAGAAAAAGCAUCGGCUAACUCCGUGCCAGCAGCCGCGGUAAUACGGAGGAUGCGAGCGUUAUCCGGAUUUAUUGGGUUUAAAGGGAGCGUAGGCCGGUCUUUAAGCGUGCCGUGAAAUUUUGUGGCUCAACCAUGAGAGUGCGGCG
RNAcentral lists this ribosomal RNA (297 nucleotides) under uncultured bacterium. RNAcentral describes it as "partial 16S ribosomal RNA". It matches the Rfam family "Bacterial small subunit ribosomal RNA", at positions 335 to 628 of the family's 1533-position model. The record is from RNAcentral.